AUGCGGAGGACCCGUCAGAUCAGCUGCCGAAGCCUGACGUGGUCAGCCAACAUAGUCGGCGCGCACUGCGGACGAGCGACGUACUGCCCCAGUCGCUACAUUGCCCAACUAGCUAGGACACUCGAGCGCCUCGCCACCUCAUUCACUCUCCAGAUCCAGGCCAUCCAUGCCUUCCAGCGCCAGCCAAAGAAACGCCCUGCCGCUGCCAUCAUCGGAGCCUGUCGAGCUUCGCAGGCCGGCGCCUCUGGCGGCGGCGAGAUGAGGGGAGUGGGUGGAGGAACGAAGGGCGGCGGGAUUUUUGCCCCCGAGUCGCUACGGAGGGCGGCGCGGAGAUGGUUUUUUGGUUCUCUUUUCACUAGGAAGGGACUCGACUGCUGGGAAGGAUGUGGAGCGUAUUUUUGUGUGCUUCAAUGUCGAUGGAGCAUUGUUCGGUAUCCUGCUAGAACUUGGAGCACAAAGAUGUUGUGA
Molecule: ribosomal RNA, 468 nt
Filed under: Triticum aestivum (bread wheat)
Lineage: Eukaryota; Viridiplantae; Streptophyta; Magnoliopsida; Poales; Poaceae
Description: partial small subunit ribosomal RNA
Source: RNAcentral